ACAUCGCAGAGGGUGACAAUCCCGUGUGUGGCGUUGAGAACCGACCACGAAGCGCUUUCUAUGAGUCGGAUUGUUUGGGAAUGCAGCCCAAAAUGGAAGGGAAAAA
Non-coding RNA from Hydra vulgaris (swiftwater hydra), 106 nucleotides. The record is from RefSeq and is a predicted model, not a curated record. Lineage: Eukaryota; Metazoa; Cnidaria; Hydrozoa; Anthoathecata; Hydridae.